RNAcentral lists this unclassified non-coding RNA (240 nucleotides) under soil metagenome. RNAcentral's name for it is "partial contains 5.8S ribosomal RNA, internal transcribed spacer 2, and large subunit ribosomal RNA". The record is from RNAcentral.
AACAAGGCGUACCUGCGGACCUGCGGAAGGAUCAUUAAAAAGAGUGUGUACCCCUCUGCAAAAUGAGUGGGUUACCUCCCGUCCUUUGUUGACCUCUUAGGAGGUUAUUUUGAACUUUCUGCUUCGGUGGGGUUAAACCUACCGGAACACCCUCAAAUUCUUAUCAUUUAAAAAUUGUUCAGUCUGAUUUUUGUUAAUAAAAACAAAAAACUUUCAGCAAUGGAUCUCAGAUCGGAAGAG